AUUGAACGCUGGCGGCAUGCCUUACACAUGCAAGUCGAACGGCAGCGGACCUUCGGGUGCCGGCGAGUGGCGAACGGGUGAGUAAUAUAUCGGAACGUACCUUUCAGUGGGGGAUAACGUAGCGAAAGUUACGCUAAUACCGCAUAUUCUGUGAGCAGGAAAGCAGGGGAUCGCAAGACCUUGCGCUGAUUGAGCGGCCGAUAUCAGAUUAGCUAGUUGGUGAGGUAAAGGCUCACCAAGGCGACGAUCUGUAGCGGGUCUGAGAGGAUGAUCCGCCACACUGGAACUGAGACACGGUCCAGACUCCUACGGGAGGCAGCAGUGGGGAAUUUUGGACAAUGGGCGCAAGCCUGAUCCAGCCAUGCCGCGUGAGUGAAGAAGGCCUCGGUUGUAAGUACGUCUUACGGUCCGGACGAAAGUACGACACGGUAAGUACCGUACGUGUGGAGUGACGGUACGGAACGUAAGAAGACA
Molecule: ribosomal RNA, 474 nt
Filed under: uncultured bacterium
Lineage: Bacteria
Description: bacterial SSU rRNA
Rfam family: Bacterial small subunit ribosomal RNA
Source: RNAcentral